This is a small RNA of 78 nucleotides. It matches the Rfam family "Flavo-1 RNA".
CCCUAGCCUUGAUAGAAGUGGAAAUCCUUUUGUGCCGGGGUUCGGCACAAAAGAUUGGAACGGAUAGCAGGAAUAGCU